UUCAUUUUCCAAAUUGAUGGUUUCCAAUUCACGCUCAAGUGAAUUCAUCUGACUGAUCUGUAAAAAGAGAAGAAGAUCUUCCCUUAGGAAUGUUGUUUCGCUUGGAAAGAACUGUAUAUCUACCAGAAAUACCCACAACACGUUCUGAGAGCUACGAGAUGCUCUCCUGAUCUAGACAUGCUGCAACACUUGAAAGGGUCAUUCCAGGCUUCCCGUAAGAAUUUAAUACAAAGUUAACAGCCAUUUGUAACCACUUUGUGUAAUCUCAAGAGAAUUAAUUCUUUAACUGCUAAAUUUCAACAAAAAUGAAGGUGACGAAUUUGGGGGCACCACUCGAGUUUCCUGUGCUCUACAGACCAAGAGUCCAAGUGUACAGCAGGAAGGCGUUACUCUUUUCUACUUGCUGGUAGGUGGCUGUGACACUACAGCCUCAUGAGGUGUCCUGCCCUCCCAACCACAGGGGGUGAGCGCUGCACUUGUGCUGAACAGAGGAGAGAGAGAAGAGGCCAACCACUGGGGGUUGCAGGUCAAAUGGCAGCAAGAAAAGGAACAGCCAAGGCCACGCCCCUUCCAAGGGAACCAUGAAGGGGAUGAGGGAAUUUCCGAGGCUUUAUUUGUGAAUGAAGAUAGCUUACUGUGUCUUUGAGCUCCUGUUUCAGAUGCUGUAGCUCCUUGUGGUGUUGGUCCUUCAUUCGUUCAAUGACCAUUUCUGCUUCUAUGCUCAUAUUUAGUGGAUUGCAAUCUUCAGAACCAAGCCCUAAAAAAAAAAGCAUGUGUUUUCUUGAAGCCCCAAGUGACGAGCAAAGCACCUCACCACCUGCUCUCCUGGAUUUACUGAGACUCAUGGAUGUCAGUUACUACAGCAGGAUUCUGUAACAGCCCAGCUCAGGCUUAAACCAUCCCGAGGCACCUGGGGCAAAGCAAUGCCAAGCUUUCAUUUUAGUCUUAAUGCUUAACACAGUGACUGACUGCUCUCCAGCGGCAACACUUCCCCUGAGGUUAAAUAUCAGAAUGGGGGCCCCACUCCUGGGCUCUCACUGAACUGCCCACAGUGCAGGUUUGGGUGGAAGGGGAGGACGGAGGUGUUGUAAACCCUGCAUUAAGCUCACCUCUACACUCUCCCUAUCCUGGAGUCAUUAGGCACACGCGUCAUCACCCAGUGGCAAUCUGAAUAGCCCUCAGACAUCUUUGACUUCUGCCAGCUGAAGCCAUAGCCAAGAAUCAUUGCUGCAUACAAGCACUGGAGCCAUUCCCUCUCCACCAGUACAGCUGAAAUCUCUAUGCCAGCUCCAUGUCACCAGAGGUUCCACCUUACAAUGGAGCAAUUCUCCCUGGACCAGAUAGGUCAGCUCUGGGACCUGGCUCGGCUGGCAGCUUGGCAUGGAGCAGCUGCACCACACUAAGAAUAUGUCUUCACUACCGGCCGGAUCAGCAGGCAGUGAUCAAUCCAGCGGGGAUCGAUUUAUCGCGUCUAGUCUAGAUGUGAUAAAAUCGAUCCCGAGUGCUUUCCUGUCAACUCCUGUA
Long non-coding RNA from Mauremys reevesii (Reeves's turtle), 1524 nucleotides. RefSeq lists it as uncharacterized. The transcript is spliced from 3 exons. The record is from RefSeq and is a predicted model, not a curated record. Lineage: Eukaryota; Metazoa; Chordata; Testudines; Geoemydidae.